AUGCCAACCUAUUACUCGGACCAAAUCUUGUCUAGCCACUUGGAUCGACGACGCUCAGUUUUGACUUCCCGCAUCGACUCCGCCACCUUCUCUAGGACACCUUCCACGGCGACGUCGAAUGCGUCCUUGACUGUCUCGAGCGAGUACCUCGGGUCAGCGUACACCAGGCUCGGCACGAGCCUGAUGACCUCCUCCUGCAUCCUCCGCACCGCCGCUCGCGGUAUCCUUCUCAGCGUGUCCUCGAUGCUCACGUUCCCGACGCGCACGGCGUCGUCCGGUAUGAACACCGAGUACCUGGCGUGGUCCUCCGGCAGGUGCCACCGGUACUGGAGAUAG
RNAcentral lists this ribosomal RNA (336 nucleotides) under Triticum aestivum (bread wheat). RNAcentral describes it as "partial small subunit ribosomal RNA". The record is from RNAcentral. Lineage: Eukaryota; Viridiplantae; Streptophyta; Magnoliopsida; Poales; Poaceae.